RNAcentral lists this ribosomal RNA (492 nucleotides) under uncultured bacterium. RNAcentral describes it as "partial 16S ribosomal RNA". It matches the Rfam family "Bacterial small subunit ribosomal RNA", at positions 29 to 507 of the family's 1533-position model. The record is from RNAcentral.
AGUGAACGCUGGCGGUAGGCCUAACACAUGCAAGUCGAACGGCAGCACAGUAAGAGCUUGCUCUUACGUGUGGCGAGUGGCGGACGGGUGGGGAAUACAUCGGAAUCUACUUUUUCGUGGGGGAUAACGUAGGGACACUUACGCUAAUACCGCAUACGACCUACGGGUGAAAGCAGGGGAUCUUCGGACCUUGCGCGAUUGAAAGAGCCGAUGUCGGAUUAGCUAGUUGGCGGGGUAAAGGCCCACCAAGGCGACGAUCCGUAGCUGGUCUGAGAGGAUGAUCAGCCACACUGGAACUGAGACACGGUCCAGACUCCUACGGGAGGCAGCAGUGGGGAAGAUUGGAAAAUGGGCGCAAGACUGAUCCAGCCAGACCGCGUGGGUGAAGAAGGCCUGCGGGUUGUAAAGCCCUGUUGUUGGGAAAGAAAAGCAGCAGGUUAAUACCCCGCUGUUCUGACGGUACACAAAGAAUAAGCACCGGAUAACUUCGUG